AAUUAGCCCAGAGUGAAAUGAAAAGCCUUUUGUGAAAAAAACUAUAUUUUUUUGUAGAUACAGAACGACUCCCGAAGUAUCGGGAUAAACUUCUGAAGCUCCUGUAACUACUUUAAAAAUAUGUUUUUUGAAUAAAAGCUUGAAAUGGAAAGCUGGAUUAGCU
RNAcentral lists this small RNA (163 nucleotides) under Flavobacterium aquidurense. Its description in RNAcentral is "Flavo-1 RNA". It matches the Rfam family "Flavo-1 RNA". Lineage: Bacteria; Pseudomonadati; Bacteroidota; Flavobacteriia; Flavobacteriales; Flavobacteriaceae. The record is from RNAcentral.